Molecule: ribosomal RNA, 497 nt
Filed under: uncultured bacterium
Lineage: Bacteria
Description: partial 16S ribosomal RNA
Rfam family: Bacterial small subunit ribosomal RNA
Source: RNAcentral
GAUGAACGCUGGCGGCGUGCCUAAUACAUGCAAGUCGAGCGAACGGACGAGAAGCUUGCUUUUCUGAUGUUAGCGGCGGACGGGUGAGUAACACGUGGAUAACCUACCUAUAAGACUGGGAUAACUUCGGGAAACCGGAGCUAAUACCGGAUAAUAUUUUGAACCGCAUGGUUCAAAAGUGAAAGACGGUCUUGCUGUCACAUAUAGAUGGAUCCUCGCUGCAUUAGCUAGUUGGUAAGGUAACGGCUUACCAAGGCAACGAUGCAUAGCCGACCUGAGAGGGUGAUCGGCCACACUGGAACUGAGACACGGUCCCAACUCCUACGGGAGGCAGCAGUAGGGAAUCUUCCGCAAUGGGCGAAAGCCUGACGGAGCACAGCCGCGUGAGUGAUGAAGGUCUUCGGAUCGUAAAACUCUGUUAUUAGGGAAGAACAUAUGUGUAAGUAACUGUGCACAUCUUGACGGUACCUAAUCAGAUAGCCACGGCUAACUACGUG